This 97-nucleotide small nucleolar RNA is filed under the name Leptobrachium leishanense (Leishan spiny toad). RNAcentral describes it as "Small nucleolar RNA MBII-202 (ENSLLEG00000029759.1)". The stretch from base 2 to 78 matches the Rfam family "Small nucleolar RNA MBII-202". Rfam says of the family: MBII-202 is a member of the C/D class of snoRNA which contain the C (UGAUGA) and D (CUGA) box motifs. The record is from RNAcentral. Lineage: Eukaryota; Metazoa; Chordata; Amphibia; Anura; Megophryidae.
UGAUGACAAAUCUCCGGAAUCUCUGUAACGCUGUGAUGAUUACUUUGAACCCUUUUGUCUGAUGGCUGCUCGAGUGGGGAAGGGGGUUUCUGUUUUC